CCUACGGGAGGCAGCAGUGAGGAAUAUUGGUCAAUGGCCGCAAGCCUGAACCAGCCAAGUCGCGUGAAGGAUGAAGGAUCUACGGUUUGUAAACUUCUUUUAUAGGGGAAUAAAGGUAUCCACGUGUGGCUAUUUGCAUGUACCCUAUGAAUAAGCAUCGGCUAACUCCGUGCCAGCAGCCGCGGUAAUACGGAGGAUGCGAGCGUUAUCCGGAUUUAUUGGGUUUAAAGGGUGCGUAGGCUGGGAGGUAAGUCAGUGGUGAAAUGCUCCCGCUCAACGGGGUAAAGUGCCAUUGAUACUGGCAUGCUGGAGUGCAGAUGCGGUAGGAGGAAUGUGUGGUGUAGCGGUGAAAUGCAUAGAUAUCACGCAGAACGCCGAUUGCGAAGGCAGCUCACGAAUCCGCCAUUGACGCUGAUGCACGAAAGCGUGGGUAUCAAACAGGAUUAGAUACCCUAGUAGUC
This 461-nucleotide ribosomal RNA is filed under the name uncultured bacterium. RNAcentral describes it as "partial 16S ribosomal RNA". It matches the Rfam family "Bacterial small subunit ribosomal RNA", at positions 338 to 795 of the family's 1533-position model. The record is from RNAcentral.